GCAACUCGCCUACACGAAGUUGGAAUUGCUAGUAAUCGUGGAUCAGCCUGCCACGGUGAAUACGUUCCCGGGUCUUGUACACACCGCCCGUCACACCAUGGGAGCUGGUAACACCCGAAGUCAGUAGUCUAACCGCAAGGAGGACGCUGCCGAAGGUGGGAUUAGCGACUGGGGUGAAGUCGUAACAAGGUAAC
Molecule: ribosomal RNA, 194 nt
Filed under: uncultured bacterium
Lineage: Bacteria
Description: partial 16S ribosomal RNA
Rfam family: Bacterial small subunit ribosomal RNA
Source: RNAcentral